Non-coding RNA from Gasterosteus aculeatus (three-spined stickleback), 46 nucleotides. The record is from Rfam. NCBI's taxonomy places the organism in Eukaryota, Metazoa, Chordata, Actinopteri, Perciformes, Gasterosteidae.
UAAAAGGCUCUUUUAAGAGCCACCCAAUCCUAAACAGCUUUUAUCU